UGACUGCAACCUGCUGUCAGCCGCCACUGU
Molecule: non-coding RNA, 30 nt
Filed under: Rattus norvegicus (Norway rat)
Lineage: Eukaryota; Metazoa; Chordata; Mammalia; Rodentia; Muridae
Source: RNAcentral